GAAAGGGCGCACGGUGGAUGCCUUGACACUAGGAGUCGAUGAAGGACGGGACUAACGCCGAUAUGCUUCGGGGAGCUGUAAGUAAGCUUUGAUCCGAAGAUUUCCGAAUGGGGAAACCCACCAUACGUAAUGGUAUGGUAUCCUUAUCUGAAUACAUAGGGUAAGGAAGACAGACCCAGGGAACUGAAACAUCUAAGUACCUGGAGGAAGAGAAAGCAAAUGCGAUUUCCUGAGUAGCGGCGAGCGAAACGGAACAUAGCCCAAACCAAGAGGCUUGCCUCUUGGGGUUGUAGGACAUUCUAUACGGAGUUACAAAGGAACGAGGUAGACGAAGCGACCUGGAAAGGUCCGUCGUAGAGGGUAACAACCCCGUAGUCGAAACUUCGUUCUCUCUUGAAUGUAUCCUGAGUACGGCGGAACACGUGAAAUUCCGUCGGAAUCUGGGAGGACCAUCUCCCAAGGCUAAAUACUCCCUAGUGAUCGAUAGUGAACCAGUACCGUGAGGGAAAGGUGAAAAGCACCCCGGAAGGGGAGUGAAAGAGAUCCUGAAACCGUGUGCCUACAAAUAGUCAGAGCCCGUUAACGGGUGAUGGCGUGCCUUUUGUAGAAUGAACCGGCGAGUUACGAUCCCGUGCGAGGUUAAGCUGAAGAGGCGGAGCCGCAGCGAAAGCGAGUCUGAAUAGGGCGUUUAGUACGUGGUCGUAGACCCGAAACCAGGUGAUCUACCCAUGUCCAGGGUGAAGUUCAGGUAACACUGAAUGGAGGCCCGAACCCACGCACGUUGAAAAGUGCGGGGAUGAGGUGUGGGUAGCGGAGAAAUUCCAAUCGAACCUGGAGAUAGCUGGUUCUCCCCGAAAUAGCUUUAGGGCUAGCCUUAAGUGUAAGAGUCUUGGAGGUAGAGCACUGAUUGGACUAGGGGUCCUCAUCGGAUUACCGAAUUCAGUCAAACUCCGAAUGCCAAUGACUUAUCCUUAGGAGUCAGACUGCGAGUGAUAAGAUCCGUAGUCAAAAGGGAAACAGCCCAGACCGCCAGCUAAGGUCCCAAAGUGUGUAUUAAGUGGAAAAGGAUGUGGAGUUGCUUAGACAACUAGGAUGUUGGCUUAGAAGCAGCCACCAUUUAAAGAGUGCGUAAUAGCUCACUAGUCGAGUGACUCUGCGCCGAAAAUGUACCGGGGCUAAAUACACCACCGAAGCUGCGGAUUGAUACCGAAUGGUAUCAGUGGUAGGGGAGCGUUCUAAGGACAGUGAAGUCAGACCGGAAGGACUGGUGGAGUGCUUAGAAGUGAGAAUGCCGGUAUGAGUAGCGAAAGACGGGUGAGAAUCCCGUCCACCGAAUGCCUAAGGUUUCCUGAGGAAGGCUCGUCCGCUCAGGGUUAGUCAGGACCUAAGCCGAGGCCGACAGGCGUAGGCGAUGGACAACAGGUUGAUAUUCCUGUACCACCUCUUUAUCGUUUGAGCAAUGGAGGGACGCAGAAGGAUAGAAGAAGCGUGCGAUUGGUUGUGCACGUCCAAGCAGUUAGGCUGAUAAGUAGGCAAAUCCGCUUAUCGUGAAGGCUGAGCUGUGAUGGGGAAGCUCCUUAUGGAGCGAAGUCUUUGAUUCCCCGCUGCCAAGAAAAGCUUCUAGCGAGAUAAAAGGUGCCUGUACCGCAAACCGACACAGGUAGGCGAGGAGAGAAUCCUAAGGUGUGCGAGAGAACUCUGGUUAAGGAACUCGGCAAAAUGACCCCGUAACUUCGGGAGAAGGGGUGCUUUCUUAACGGAAAGCCGCAGUGAAUAGGCCCAAGCGACUGUUUAGCAAAAACACAGCUCUCUGCGAAGCCGUAAGGCGAAGUAUAGGGGGUGACACCUGCCCGGUGCUGGAAGGUUAAGGAGAGGGGUUAGCGUAAGCGAAGCUCUGAACUGAAGCCCCAGUAAACGGCGGCCGUAACUAUAACGGUCCUAAGGUAGCGAAAUUCCUUGUCGGGUAAGUUCCGACCCGCACGAAAGGUGUAACGAUUUGGGCACUGUCUCAACCAGAGACUCGGUGAAAUUAUAGUACCUGUGAAGAUGCAGGUUACCCGCGACAGGACGGAAAGACCCCGUGGAGCUUUACUGUAGCCUGAUAUUGAAUUUUGGUACAGUUUGUACAGGAUAGGCGGGAGCCAUUGAAACCGGAGCGCUAGCUUCGGUGGAGGCGCUGGUGGGAUACCGCCCUGACUGUAUUGAAAUUCUAACCUACGGGUCUUAUCGACCCGGGAGACAGUGUCAGGUGGGCAGUUUGACUGGGGCGGUCGCCUCCUAAAGUGUAACGGAGGCGCCCAAAGGUUCCCUCAGAAUGGUUGGAAAUCAUUCGUAGAGUGCAAAGGCAUAAGGGAGCUUGACUGCGAGACCUACAAGUCGAGCAGGGACGAAAGUCGGGCUUAGUGAUCCGGUGGUUCCGCAUGGAAGGGCCAUCGCUCAACGGAUAAAAGCUACCCCGGGGAUAACAGGCUUAUCUCCCCCAAGAGUCCACAUCGACGGGGAGGUUUGGCACCUCGAUGUCGGCUCAUCGCAUCCUGGGGCUGUAGUCGGUCCCAAGGGUUGGGCUGUUCGCCCAUUAAAGCGGUACGCGAGCUGGGUUCAGAACGUCGUGAGACAGUUCGGUCCCUAUCCGUCGUGGGCGUAGGAAAUUUGAGAGGAGCUGUCCUUAGUACGAGAGGACCGGGAUGGACGCACCGCUGGUGUACCAGUUGUUCUGCCAAGGGCAUAGCUGGGUAGCUAUGUGCGGAAGGGAUAAGUGCUGAAAGCAUCUAAGCAUGAAGCCCCCCUCAAGAUGAGAUUUCCCAUAGCGUAAGCUAGUAAGAUCCCUGAAAGAUGAUCAGGUUGAUAGGUUCGAGGUGGAAGCAUGGUGACAUGUGGAGCUGACGAAUACUAAUAGAUCGAGGACUUAACC
This 2911-nucleotide ribosomal RNA is filed under the name Bacillus thuringiensis. Its description in RNAcentral is "bacterial LSU rRNA". It matches the Rfam family "Bacterial large subunit ribosomal RNA". The record is from RNAcentral. Lineage: Bacteria; Bacillati; Bacillota; Bacilli; Caryophanales; Bacillaceae.